RNAcentral lists this ribosomal RNA (468 nucleotides) under uncultured bacterium. RNAcentral describes it as "bacterial SSU rRNA". It matches the Rfam family "Bacterial small subunit ribosomal RNA", at positions 30 to 539 of the family's 1533-position model. The record is from RNAcentral.
UGAACGCUGGCGAGAUGCCUUACACAUGCAAGUCAUACGGGAAUUUUUAAUUUAAGUGGCGGACGGGUGAGUAACACGUAAGAAUUUGCCUUUAGGAGGGGGACAACAACUGGAAACGGUUGCUAAUACCCCAUAUGCUUUCGAGUGAAAUGGAAUUUUCCGCCUAAAGAGAAGCUUGCGGCUGAUUAGCUUGUUGGUAAGGUAAUGGCUUACCAAGGCGACGAUCAGUAUCUGGUUUGAGAGGAUGAUCAGACACACUGGAACUGAGACACGGUCCAGACUCCUACGGGAGGCAGCAGUGGGGAAUUUUCCGCAAUGGGCGAAAGCCUGACGGAGCAAUCUCGCGUGAGGGAUGACGGCCUAUGGGUUGUAAACCUCUUUUUUCAGGGAGGAAUAAAUGACGUGUACCUGAAGAAUAAGCAUCGGCUAGCUCCGUGCCAGCAGCCGCGGUAAUCUGAUGGCGCGAGG